GCGGACGAGGGCGCUUUUCGUCCAUCCCUCCGUUCCUCCCCUUCCAGGAAAAAGUCCACUCCGGGAUUUCCACGCAGCCAUGAAAGGCUACAGUGGAGCAGUGGAUUCGUCAGCGGUGGAGGGUUUGUAGCAGCAGUCUCUUUACCUGCUCCCAGAGUCAUGCAAUGAAACUGUGCACCAACCAUAUAGCAUGCAGCACGGCACGUUUUCAUUUUUUCACAUGGGGAGAAAACACACAGUUUAGAGUUUAGACGAUGCAGAUCUAACUAGAGGCCGUGUGGCGAAAGAGUUACAGUAACACAAACUUUCUGUGCAUGCUGGAGCUGUAGCAAACAUAUGUGGCCCACAGCUUACACGUCACAUUGAAAGAAUUGGUAAUGCGAUCAGUUCAUUGGAUAGUUUAACACAAAAUAUUACUACCACACACUGCGACUUUCUUUGCAUGCAGAUUAUCUUUUAAUUAGCAGACAUCAUGGGACCUUUUUAUGCCCCGAGACUGUUCUCAUAUCAUGAAUAACGUUGCUGCUUUCUUUUCCAAUGCUCCUGUAACAUGAUUAAUAUGACUUGAAUAAAAUGAAUUGUCAUGUGUGAAA
This is a non-coding RNA of Gasterosteus aculeatus aculeatus (three-spined stickleback), 593 nucleotides long. Lineage: Eukaryota; Metazoa; Chordata; Actinopteri; Perciformes; Gasterosteidae. The record is from RefSeq and is a predicted model, not a curated record.